ACGCAUUUCCAGUUCGUAAGAACAGGAUCUGACGGAGCGGCGAACGGGUGAGUAACACGUGAGUAACCUGCCCCACAGACCGGGAUAGCACAGGGAAACCUGGAUUAAUACCGGAUAUUCUCUUCGGACCUCAUGGUCCGCUGAGGAAAGGCCUUUGUGCUGUGGGAUGGACUCGCGGCUUAUCAGCUAGUUGGUGGGGUAACGGCCUACCAAGGCAUCGACGAGUAGCUGGUCUGAGAGGACGAUCAGCCACACUGGGACUGAGACACGGCCCAGACUCCUACGGGAGGCAGCAGCAGGGAAUCUUGCACAAUGGGCGAAAGCCUGAUGCAGCAACGCCGCGUGUGGGAUGAAGGCCUUCGGGUUGUAAACCACUUUCAGGAGGGAAGAAAUUGACGGUACCUCCAAAAGAAGCACCGGCCAACUACGUGCCAGCAGCCGCGGUAAUACGUAGGGUGCAAGCGUUAUCCGGAAUCAUUGGGCGUAAAGAGCUCGUAGGCGGUUCAGAAAGUCGGCUGUGAAAGUUCAAGGCUCAACCUUGAAAAUGCAGUCGAUACUUCUGUGACUAGAGUCUGGUAGAGGAGAAUGGAAUUCUCGGUGUAGCGGUGGAAUGCGCAGAUAUCGAGAGGAACACCAGUAGCGAAGGCGGUUCUCUGGGCCUCGACUGACGCUGAGGAGCGAAAGCAUGGGUAGCAAACAGGAUUAGAUACCCUGGUAGUCCAUGCCGUAAACGUUGGAUACUAGGUGUGGCGUCCCGAUUAACGGAUGCCGUGCCGAAGCUAACGCAUUAAGUAUCCCGCCUGGGGGAGUACGGCCGCA
Molecule: ribosomal RNA, 819 nt
Filed under: uncultured bacterium
Lineage: Bacteria
Description: bacterial SSU rRNA
Rfam family: Bacterial small subunit ribosomal RNA
Source: RNAcentral